Long non-coding RNA from Bufo bufo (common toad), 134 nucleotides. RefSeq lists it as uncharacterized. The record is from RefSeq and is a predicted model, not a curated record. Lineage: Eukaryota; Metazoa; Chordata; Amphibia; Anura; Bufonidae. The transcript has 3 exons.
GGGAUGACACUAAAACUGUUGUCUCAGUGUUUCACAGAGAACAGGAGUUAAUACUCCCUUCAUUUUGUACCGCUCCCAAAAACAUACAGGAGGAACGCUUCCACUGUCUGGAUGUGAGAAGAGCAGUCCUCGCC